This 253-nucleotide ribosomal RNA is filed under the name uncultured bacterium. RNAcentral describes it as "partial 16S ribosomal RNA". It matches the Rfam family "Bacterial small subunit ribosomal RNA", at positions 524 to 776 of the family's 1533-position model. The record is from RNAcentral.
UACGUAGGGUGCAAGCGUUAUCCGGAUUCACUGGGUUUAAAGGGUGCGUAGGAGGGCAGGUAAGUCAGUGGAUGAAUCUCCGAGCUUAACUUGGAACUGCCGUUGAUACUAUCUGUCUUGAAUAUUGUGGAGGUGAGCGGAAUAUGUCAUGUAGCGGUGAAAUGCUUAGAUAUGACAUAGAACACCAAUUGCGAAGGCAGCUCACUACACGAAUAUUGACACUGAGGCACGAAAGCGUGGGGGAUCAAACAGG